GACGAACGCUGGCGGUGUGCUUAACACAUGCCAGUCGAACGGAAAUGCCCGGGUGUUGUUGGGUGGUCGAGUGGCGAACUGGUGCGUAACACGUGGGUACCCUCCCCUUGACUGAGGGGUAACUUCCAGAAACUGGGACGAAUGCGUAAGACGAGGUCCUCUUCCGUAGAGUGGGGGGGAAAUUUUCGGCGGAUGUGGAUAGCGCCGCGGUUUAUCCGCUUGUUGGUGGAGUAGGUGCGUACCAAGGCUUUGACGGGUAGCCGGCCUGAUAGGGUGACCGGCCACAUUGGGACCGGGAUACCGCCCAGACUCCUACGGGAGGCAGGAGGGGGGAAUAUUGCACAAUGGGCGGAAGCCCGAUGCAGCAACGCCGGGGGCGGUAUAACGGCCUUCGGGUUGUAGACAGCUUUCGCCGGUGACGAAGCGUGCGUGACGGUAAUGGGUGAAGAAGCACCGGCUAACUACGUG
Molecule: ribosomal RNA, 468 nt
Filed under: uncultured bacterium
Lineage: Bacteria
Description: partial 16S ribosomal RNA
Rfam family: Bacterial small subunit ribosomal RNA
Source: RNAcentral